CAGACUAACAUACAUGUGAGUACAAUAAUUAUAAUUUAGCCAAUUUUUUUUACAAAAUACAAGAAAGAUGAGCUUGUUAUUGCCUUCACCUUGUUCUUCUUCAUCAUCAUUCCAACUUCCAGUUACAGGAGCAGCAGCAGAAAAAUGCAAAAGAAGGAUGCUGAUGAUGAUUAGUGGUGGGAAUUCCAGGGCGAGAAUGUCGGGGAUGUCGAUUACAAAGAAGAAAAGGCAAGUGUGGUUGUGGACUGAGAGCCAACAAGUCAUGACCACUGCUGUGGAGAGAGGCUGGACUACUUUUCUCUUCUCCUCUCCCCAUCUCCCCACCAUCUGGUCUUCAAUAGCAAGGAUAAAUCCUCUUUUCAUGAAAGACGGGGAGAUUUAUGAUGUUGAUGAUCAAAUAGUUGCCACUUUUUCUUCAAUUUCUUCUCCGGAAGAAUUGAAGCAGUUUCAGCCAAGUGAUGAGCAGCCAGAUAUUGUUAUUGUCAAUCUGCUAGACUGGCAGGCGAUCCCUGCGGAGAAUAUAGUUGCAGCAUUUCAAGGCACUGACAAAAGAGUAAUGGCAGUUUCAAAAACUCCAAAGGAAGCUCAAAUGUUCCUUGAGGCAUUGGAGCUUGGAUUAGGAGGAGUGGUUUUGAAAGUAGAGGAUGUCAAAGCUGUCCUUGAUAUGAAGGAAUAUUUCGACAGAAUAGAUGAAGUUGGCAUUCCAUUAGGCUUGACCAGAGCUACUGUAUCUCAAGUUCAAAUGACUGGAAUGGGUGAUAGAGUUUGUGUGGAUCUCUGUACUAUGAUGAAGCCAGGGGAAGGUCUUCUGGUUGGAUCCUUUGCAAGAGGGCUAUUCCUAGUUCACUCGGAGUGCUUAGAGACAAGCUACAUUUCGAGUAGGCCUUUUCGAGUCAAUGCAGGACCUGUUCAUGCCUAUGUUGCUGUUCCUGGAGGAAAAACGUGUUACCUCUCAGAAUUAAGAUCAGGCAAAGAGGUAAUUGUGGUUGAUCAAAGUGGCAACCAACGGUCAGCAGUUGUUGGGCGUGUAAAGAUAGAGACUAGACCGUUAAUUCUUGUUGAGGCAAAGGCAGAAAUGGAUAAUGUAAUUGUUUAUAGCACUCUUUUACAAAAUGCCGAGACGGUUGCCCUAAUCUCCCCAAACAAGGGGAAUGGAUCUGCAAAUAUGGCAAUACCUGUAACUGCACUCAAAGUUGGAGAUGAAGUUUUGAUGAGAGUGCAGGGUGGUGCUCGCCAUACAGGAAUAGAAAUUCAAGAAUUCAUUGUUGAAAAAUGAAAUAAAUUGUGUGAAUCAUGUUUACUCUGAGACUUGUUCGGAACAGUUUGAGUUGACCACUAUAUCAUAUGUGAUGUUCUGUAGCUGCCAGUGUCUACGGUCUUGCAUGACUGGAAUACUUGUCAACCCCUCUGAAUGUUGAAUUAGGGCUGUAAAUUGAUACGGACUAUCCGGUGUCUCGGCUCAUAUCCGGCUCGAAAAUAUGAUACAUGUCUCAUAUCCGUUUUGAAAACGAUCCAAAUCUGGCGAAAAUAUUAAGCCCGUAUAAUAUAUGAUCCCGGAUCUGAGCACACCUGUACCCGCUCAGAUUCGGUCUCAUAUAAUUUUUCAUAAUAUGAUCCUACCCGAAUACGCGAAUAUGAUCCACGGUUCAUAUUUAAUUCAAACUCAUAUACAUAUUAUAAUUUAAAUCCAUUUGUAAGUAAAUAGUCAUCAUUUUAUAAAAUUUUAAUAUCUUAUUUAAGUUUAUGUCUUCAUAAAAUGUGAUUUAUUUAAUCUGAUCAUGCUUAUUAUCUUCAUAUAUAUUUAAUAAAUGAUAUAUAUCAACAUAUAACUAUAGGUUUUAAUUAAAAUUAUUAUAUUUUAUAAUAUUAAUUUUACUUAGACUAAAUGAUAAUUAUUUGAAUAAUAGAAAUAAUAAGAUAUUUAAUGUUAGUGGAUCAUAUCCGGCUCAUAUUCGAUGGAUCAUAAACUACCCGUUAAAAAAUGGAAAAUACGAUACUGGAUCAUAUUCGGUUCAGAUCCGAAUCUCAAAUACCCAGGAUCGGUUUAUAUCCGAAUAAAACGAUCCCGAACCCAAAUCUGGACAAACUGAAAGUUAUAUGAUCCGGUACUCGAGCAUAGAGGUACUCGGGAUCACCCGGAUCAUUUUACAGCCCUAUGUUGAAUUGUUGAUUAUCAGUGAGUGACAGACAAUAUCGGCCUCUGUUUCGACUGCUUGUUGCCUUUAGAGUCACACAUUCUGAUUUAGCAUCUCUGGCACUUGUAAUCUUUUUACCUAGCAGAACUAUUGUUGAAUACUUAAUUGUCCUGAGUUACUUGAACUCUCUGCAAGUUAAAAAUGGAUAGGCUUUUUUGUCAA
Molecule: RNA transcript, 2357 nt
Organism: Daucus carota subsp. sativus
Lineage: Eukaryota; Viridiplantae; Streptophyta; Magnoliopsida; Apiales; Apiaceae
Exons: 11
Source: RefSeq, a predicted model, not a curated record